UACGUAGGGGGCAAGCGUUGUCCGGAUUCAUUGGGCGUAAAGAGCGUGUAGGCGGCCAGGUAGGUCGGUUGUGAAAACUGGAGGCUCAACCUUCAGAGGUCGACCGAAACCAUCUGGCUAGAGUCCGGGAGAGGAGAGUGGAAUUCCUGGUGUAGCGGUGAAAUGCGCAGAUAUCAGGAGGAACACCGGUGGCGAAGGCGGGUCUCUGGGCCGAUACUGACGCUGAGAAGCGAAAGCGUGGGGAGCGAACAGG
RNAcentral lists this ribosomal RNA (253 nucleotides) under uncultured bacterium. RNAcentral describes it as "partial 16S ribosomal RNA". It matches the Rfam family "Bacterial small subunit ribosomal RNA", at positions 524 to 776 of the family's 1533-position model. The record is from RNAcentral.